Sebastes umbrosus (honeycomb rockfish) is the source of this 1811-nucleotide RNA transcript. It is a transcript of the gene named H-2 class I histocompatibility antigen, Q9 alpha chain-like, with no coding region annotated. Lineage: Eukaryota; Metazoa; Chordata; Actinopteri; Perciformes; Sebastidae. The transcript is spliced from 9 exons. The record is from RefSeq and is a predicted model, not a curated record.
AAUCAAGCUGCUGUGCAUGUUGCACCCAUCGAAGCUGUGUAGAAGGAGCAAGAAGGAGAAGGUGCAGCAUUUCUCUUCUCGGUGUUUCUUUAUGUGAAUAAAAUGAGGAAGGUUAUUUUACUGCUGUGCCUCUGCCACGCUGCAUCCGCAGUGACUCACUCUCUGAAGUAUUUCUACACUGCGUCUUCUGAAGUCCCAAACUUCCCAGAGUUUGUGUCUGUUGCGUUGGUUGAUAAAGUUCAGAUAGAUCACUAUGACAGUAACACCAGGAUGGUAGAACCCAAACAGGACUGGAUGAGCAACGUCACAGAGGAUGAUCCUCAGUACUGGGAGAGGGAGACUGAGAACUGUAAGGCUACCCAGCAGGUCUUCAAAUCCAACCUUGAAGUUGCAAAGCAGCGUUUCAACCAAACUGGAGAUGUCCACAUUGUCCAGUGGAUGUACGGCUGUGAAUGGGACGAUGAGACUGAUGAGGUUAUGGGUUAUAAUCAGUGGGGUUAUGAUGGAGAAGACUUCAUAUCAUUUGACCUGAAGACAGAGACAUACGUCGCUCCAAAACCACAGGCUGUCAUCACCAAACACAAGUGGGAUCAUGACAAAGCUAGGAUAGCACAGGACAAACUCUACUUCACCCAGGAGUGUCCUGAGUGGCUGAAGAAGUAUGUGAACUAUGGGAGGAGCGUUCUGCUGAGAACAGAGCUUCCCUCAGUGUCUCUCCUCCAGAAGACUCCCUCCUCUCCAGUCAGCUGCCACGCUACAGGUUUCUACCCUGACAGAGCCACACUGUUCUGGAGGAAAGAUGGAGAGGACCUUCAUGAGGACGUGGACCUCGGAGAGAUCCUCCCCAACCACGAUGGAACCUUCCAGAUGAGUGUUGACCUGAAACUUUCAUCAGUCCCAGCUGAAGACUGGAGGAGGUACGACUGUGUGUUUCAGCUCUCUGGUGUGAAGCACGACCUCGUCACCAGACUGGCCAAAGCAGUGAUCAGGACCAACAGAGAGAUUCUCAUCAUCGCUGCAGUGGUUGUUCUUGCUCUCGUCCUCAUCGCUGUGAUUGGAGUCGUCAUUUAUAAAAAGAAGAACGUCUUGUCUUUUUAUUUCAGCCAAACGCCCUCCAUCUCCUGUAAACAACGCUGAGGUCUUGGAGGAACUGAAUCCAGGAUCCUAAAUGAUGAACACACCAGCCUGCACACAGUUUAUGGAUACAUUCUGCACUGGAUCAAGGAGCGGUGCCACAUUCUCCUCCGUCAACUGGGAAUUCAUUGGUUAUUCUUCAUUCAUAUCAUAAACUGGUGGAAUCAGGGUUGGCAAUUUAUUUGUAGUUGAUUGGAAUACAAAGAAAUUAGAAAAAAAUACAAAUAUCAUCCAACAUAAAUGGAGACAUUAAAUUAUUUGGAUCAUUUAGUUAAAAACAAAAGUGUAAUUUCCUCUGAUCAAAUAUUUGUUUAAAUGUUGGUAAAUCAAAUGAGGAUGAUUAUUUUUGGAGAGAAGUAAAACAAUGAAAGCAUCACAGAACUCUUCAUACAUAAUAAAGACUAAACAAUAAAUCCACCAUAGUUACAGUUUGAUGCUUCUGCUGUUGGGGUUUUUUCUGCUUAGUGGUAACACAAACGUUAAUUUACAGAUAUAGACACCAUAGAAAUAUUUCUAUGAUAGACACACACACACAUCCACGUACACUCGGGUCUGUCAAUAUGAUGAUAUAUACCUUGAGAUAACAGAUAGUCAAUACUGCUAAUCAAUCAGCAGCAUCCAGUGAUGAUCCCCUAUGCACACACACACACACACACACGCACACACACACAUACACA